AGAGUAGGUCCCGGUGCCUCUGAAGGUGGCUGUGUGAACUGGGGGGGGCGGUGUCAGACUUUUGAGGCUGGGCUGUCUCAUCUGUAAAGUGGGGGUGAUUCUAUGUGAUGACAUUAUUAUCAAGAUUGUUUCCCCUUUCUCCUUCUCCCAACUCCCCAUAUUUGGCUGACACGGUCAGCUGUGACCUGGAGGUGGGGCUUAGUUUAAUGUCAGGACCAGCUGGGGGCGUGCCUUGGGGGCCCUGCUAAAUGCACCGUCUCCAGUAAUGAAGAGACGGCUCUGAUGGAGAUCACUCUGUGUCAAGAGGGGCAGCCAUGUCAGCAUCUCUGCUCGAUGAUGCCACCGGAGGAGAGGCUGCUGCUGUGGGUGUCUCUAUGCAUACCCCAGCCGGCCUCAAGCUCUCCAUCCUCCUGCCCCUGCCUCUGGAGAGCUGAGAUUACAGCUGAGGACCGAACCCAGGGCCUUGCGCUUGCUAGGCAAGCACUCUGCCAUUGAGCUAAAUCCCCACCCCUGAAGAUGGACUAGAGAGUCUGUUGAACUUGAAGAUUGUGGACCAGCUGGUCAGCCAACUCCCUGGAUCUACCCAUCUCUGCCCACUCACCACCAAAGCUGGGCUUCCAGGCAUGUGAGCCAUGUCCGGCCUUUGUACACAUACACUGGGGACUCAAAUGCAGGUCCUCAAACCUUCAGUCAAGUGUUCUCACUCACCGAUCCCUCUCCUCGG
Molecule: long non-coding RNA, 724 nt
Organism: Peromyscus leucopus (white-footed mouse)
Lineage: Eukaryota; Metazoa; Chordata; Mammalia; Rodentia; Cricetidae
Exons: 3
Source: RefSeq, a predicted model, not a curated record